UACGUAGGGUGCGAGCGUUGUCCGGAAUUAUUGGGCGUAAAGAGCUCGUAGGCGGUCUGUCGCGUCGGAUGUGAAAACCCAGGGCUCAACCCUGGGCCUGCAUUCGAUACGGGCAGACUAGAGUUCGGUAGGGGAGACUGGAAUUCCUGGUGUAGCGGUGGAAUGCGCAGAUAUCAGGAGGAACACCGGUGGCGAAGGCGGGAUCCUGGGCCAGUACUGACGCUGAGGAGCGAAAGCGUGGGGAGCAAACAGG
RNAcentral lists this ribosomal RNA (253 nucleotides) under uncultured bacterium. RNAcentral's name for it is "partial 16S ribosomal RNA". It matches the Rfam family "Bacterial small subunit ribosomal RNA", at positions 524 to 776 of the family's 1533-position model. The record is from RNAcentral.